RNAcentral lists this ribosomal RNA (492 nucleotides) under uncultured bacterium. RNAcentral's name for it is "partial 16S ribosomal RNA". It matches the Rfam family "Bacterial small subunit ribosomal RNA", at positions 29 to 507 of the family's 1533-position model. The record is from RNAcentral.
AGUGAACGCUGGCGGUAGGCCUAACACAUGCAAGUCGAACGGCAGCACAGUAAGAGCUUGCUCUUACGGGUGGCGAGUGGCGGACGGGUGAGGAAUACAUCGGAAUCUACUUUUUCGUGGGGGAUAACGUAGGGAAACUUACGCUAAUACCGCAUACGGCCUACGGGUGAAAGCAGGGGAUCUUCGGACCUUGCGCGAUUGAAUGAGCCGAUGUCGGAUUAGCUAGUUGGCGGGGUAAAGGCCCACCAAGGCGACGAUCCGUAGCUGGUCUGAGAGGAUGAUCAGCCACACUGGAACUGAGACACGGUCCAGACUCCUACGGGAGGCAGCAGUGGGGAAUAUUGGACAAUGGGCGCAAGCCUGAUCCAGCCAUACCGCGUGGGUGAAGAAGGCCUUCGGGUUGUAGAGCCCUUUUGUUGGGAAAGAAAAGCAGCAGGUUAAUACCCCGCUGUUCUGACGGUACCCAAAGAAUAAGCACCGGCUAACUUCGUG